Vicia faba (fava bean) is the source of this 306-nucleotide non-coding RNA. NCBI's taxonomy places the organism in Eukaryota, Viridiplantae, Streptophyta, Magnoliopsida, Fabales, Fabaceae. The record is from the annotation of a GenBank genome assembly.
AUGGCUAUUUUUUGGGUUUUACCUAAUUGUGUGGAUAAGGUUUAUAAGAGGGUUCAUUCGGAUAUAUACAAGGGAGUAGAAUCAAAAACCAGAAAGGAACAAAAACGAGAAACGGCGAGGGAGAGAGAGAGAGAAAUCCUUGAUUCGCGACAACCUCCAAUGCGUUCUCCUCCUUCAACUUCACAGCAACUCCUUCACCGCUUCAACUCACCGUUCAGCUCUUCCAACGCUUCUCAGCAACCUUCAUUUCAUCUUCAACAACAACAAUCCAUGUUUCUGACAUCAUCAACCAUCGUUCAACCGUGA